This 251-nucleotide ribosomal RNA is filed under the name uncultured prokaryote. RNAcentral's name for it is "partial 16S rRNA". It matches the Rfam family "Bacterial small subunit ribosomal RNA", at positions 525 to 775 of the family's 1533-position model. The record is from RNAcentral.
ACGGAGGGUGCAAGCGUUGUUCGGAAUUACUGGGCGUAAAGGGCGCGUAGGCGGACUGAUAAGUCAGGUGUGAAAGCCCACGGCUUAACUGUGGAAGUGCGUUUGAAACUAUGAGUCUUGAGUACCAGAGGGGAAGGUGGAAUUCCCAGUGUAGAGGUGAAAUUCGUAGAUAUUGGGAGGAAUACCGGUGGCGAAGGCGGCGAUCUGGAAGAUUACUGACGCUGAGGCGCGAAAGCGUGGGUAGCAAACAG